UUUAACUGAAGAGUUUGAUCAUGGCUCAGAUUGAACGCUGGCGGCAGGCCUAACACAUGCAAGUCGAGCGGAAGAAGGGAGCUUGCUCCCGGAUUUAGCGGCGGACGGGUGAGUAACACCUGGGAAUCUGCCUGAUAGUGGGGG
Molecule: ribosomal RNA, 144 nt
Filed under: Halopseudomonas bauzanensis
Lineage: Bacteria; Pseudomonadati; Pseudomonadota; Gammaproteobacteria; Pseudomonadales; Pseudomonadaceae
Description: Pseudomonas bauzanensis partial 16S rRNA. Bacterial SSU
Rfam family: Bacterial small subunit ribosomal RNA
Source: RNAcentral